Molecule: non-coding RNA, 22 nt
Filed under: Rattus norvegicus (Norway rat)
Lineage: Eukaryota; Metazoa; Chordata; Mammalia; Rodentia; Muridae
Source: RNAcentral
AAUGUAAAUAUCUGUGCUUUCC